Long non-coding RNA from Dioscorea cayenensis subsp. rotundata (Guinea yam), 1067 nucleotides. RefSeq lists it as uncharacterized. The record is from RefSeq and is a predicted model, not a curated record. NCBI's taxonomy places the organism in Eukaryota, Viridiplantae, Streptophyta, Magnoliopsida, Dioscoreales, Dioscoreaceae. The transcript has 3 exons.
ACGACCCGUGUAUCAAUAGACCCGAAGGUCAUGUGAGUUUAAUCCAUGGAAUUUACUGUAAAUAAACCUUUGUUUUGAAAUUUUUGUAACUACUUGAUGCGGGAAAGAUGUAUCUUUGCGAUCAAUGUACAGAAACUCUAGUGUUGUGUGCACAUGAUGGUUCUCAAUGAUAGAACUUCCCUUAAGCAUUCCAAUCCUUUUAUCACCAAGUAUAACCCUGUGGGUGGAAUUGUUUUAGUACUCUAGUCAUGGGAACUGAGGUAAGUGUUUUAAUCCUUUCAAAUCCUCUACACUCAAUCCAUCUGGCAUUUCCUAACCAAAGUUGAUGAUGCAUAACAUUUGCAAGAGUAAAUUCAACUGUAGCAACUGGCAACUGCAUUCCUCCUUUCGCCCUACACCAAAUGAAAUUUACUUGAAAUCAUGUCAUCUGAAAUCCAAAUCUCUGUUCAUAAAUUUAUCAGCCCUUUAACUCAGUGUCCUUGAUGCUGUAAAGCACAUCUUAUUCGGAUCCUCCUUGGUCAACAUUGAACUUUUUCCAUUCACCGUCUUCGCCUUGUCUUGCAACUUCUCUAUUACUUUUGGAUUCCAAACAAGCACUGCCAUGGCCGCCUCCAAGAAUAUGCAUGAGGCACCAACCAAAGUUCAUUUUUAGAGAAGAUGACGCACACCUGAUUCUCACUUCUCUUUGUGCAAGAAUUUAGAGUUUCUUACUCAGAGAUUGUUGGAAUGUGCAGUCAAUUCUCAACUGCAAGUUUGUGUCGCCCCAGGGAUUUUCAAAACUUGACAUCUUGAAGAACUAAGGGAUUCCUGAAAUACUUUCAAACCCUUUGUUGUUGUUUUUGGGGAUACCAAUCAAUCACCACUUGUUUUUCCUGCUUCAACUUUUUUAUCAAGAAUUUGGAAUUGCUGGCAACUAUGUAUUAUCAGAAUCAAGCAGAAGUUCGUUCCAUGCAGAUGAAAUUAAGACAUUAUCACAUGUUAUGUGUUGUAUCAUCUUUUGCACUAGUUUUCGAAUGUUGAAAAUUAAACAUGUUUUGAUUUCUCUCUAGCUUACUACCUUUUGCACU